AUUGCUAUUUGCACUAAAAAGUUUUUAGUGUAAAAUCGACUUUGUCGAAUAAAAUUCUGGGUAGAAUUAUGAUAAUGACAUUAUCUGCCCAUAAGUCUUGACCAAAUUACGUGCCAGCAGUCGCGGUAAUACGUAGAAGACAAGUGUUAUUCAUCUUUAAUAGGUUUAAAGGGUACUUAGACGGUAAAUCAAGCCUCAAAAAGGGACGAAUUUUCUAGAGUUUUAUGUGAAGGAGUUUUAAAGUACUACUGGUGUAGAGAUAAAAUUCAGUUAUACCUAACAUGGCACAGGUUAAGGCGAAAGCAUCUUCUUAUGUAAAAACUGACGUUGAAGGACGAAGGCUUUGUGUCUCGAACAGGAUUAGAUACCCUAGUAGUCUAAGCAGAAAAUGAUGAAUGUCAUAGAUUAGAUGCAAUUUGAUCUAUAAAUGAAAGUGUAAGCAUUCCACCUCAAGAGUAAUUUGGCAACAUUGGAACUGAAAUCAUUAGACCGUUUCUGAAACCAGUAGUGAAGUAUGUUGUUUAAUUUGAUAAUCCGCAAAAAACCUUACCAAAAAAUUAUUGAAUAGUUUAUUUAAUAAUUUCUUAAUGUGAAUAGAUAUAUUUUAUCAUACAAGCGUUGCACGGCUGUCUUCAGUUAAUGUCGUGAGACUUUGGUUAGUUCCAUUAAAUUAACGUAA
RNAcentral lists this ribosomal RNA (679 nucleotides) under Huea sp. 1 UR-2019. RNAcentral's name for it is "SSU rRNA". It matches the Rfam family "Bacterial small subunit ribosomal RNA", at positions 393 to 1101 of the family's 1533-position model. Lineage: Eukaryota; Fungi; Ascomycota; Lecanoromycetes; Teloschistales; Teloschistaceae. The record is from RNAcentral.